UACGGGGGGGGCAAGCGUUGUUCGGAAUUACUGGGCGUAAAGGGCUCGUAGGCGGCCAACUAAGUCAUACGUGAAAUCCCUCGGCUUAACCGGGGAACUGCAUCUGAUACUGGAUGGCUUGAGAUUGGGAGAGGGAUGCGGAAUUCCAGGUGUAGCGGUGAAAUGCGUAGAUAUCUGGAGGAACACCGGUGGCGAAGGCGGCAUCCUGGACCAACACUGACGCUGAGGAGCGAAAGCCAGGGGAGCAAACGGG
This 253-nucleotide ribosomal RNA is filed under the name uncultured bacterium. Its description in RNAcentral is "partial 16S ribosomal RNA". It matches the Rfam family "Bacterial small subunit ribosomal RNA", at positions 524 to 776 of the family's 1533-position model. The record is from RNAcentral.